This 448-nucleotide ribosomal RNA is filed under the name uncultured bacterium. RNAcentral describes it as "partial 16S ribosomal RNA". It matches the Rfam family "Bacterial small subunit ribosomal RNA", at positions 329 to 793 of the family's 1533-position model. The record is from RNAcentral.
UUCCAGACUCCUACGGGAGGCAGCAGUGGGGGAUAUUGCACAAUGGGGGGAACCCUGAUGCAGCGACGCCGCGUGGGUGAAGGAGUAUUUCGGUAUGUAAAGCCCUAUCGGCAGGGAAGAAGCAAGACGGUACCUGACUAAGAAGCCCCGGCUAACUACGUGCCAGCAGCCGCGGUAAUACGUAGGGGGCAAGCGUUAUCCGGAUUUACUGGGUGUAAAGGGGGCGCAGACGGCGAUGCAAGCCAGGAGUGAAAGCCCGGGGCCCAACCCCGGGACUGCUCUGGAAACUGCGGCGCUGGAGUACGGGAGGGGCAGGCGGAAUUCCUAGUGUAGCGGUGAAAUGCGUAGAUAUUAGGAGGAACACCGGCGGCGAAGGCGGCCUGCUGGACCGUAACUGACGUUGAGGCUCGAAAGCGUGGGGAGCAAACAGGAUUAGAUACCCCAGUAC